This 29302-nucleotide long non-coding RNA is filed under the name Medicago truncatula (barrel medic). RNAcentral's name for it is "long non-coding RNA (MTRU_LNC003786)". Lineage: Eukaryota; Viridiplantae; Streptophyta; Magnoliopsida; Fabales; Fabaceae. The record is from RNAcentral.
GUGCCCUAGAACUUUGGAAUUAUCCCUCAUUUCUUAGAGAUUUGGUACCACAUAACGUAAAUGGCACAGAAAGAUGUGAUCAUGUGGAUUUAGCUGCACUUGAAAGUAUGAUAUACUAACCACAAUACUUUCUAUUUUAAGAACAUUUUUAUUAUAUUUUAUGUAAGUUAUUACAUGGAAUUAAGAUUGUAACUUGAUGUAAUAAAUAAUGCAGUUUACAGGGAUAGAGAGAGGAAUGUACCUAGAUAUAACCAACUAAGGAGAGGACUACUAAUGAUACCUAUUUCAAAAUGGGAAGAUUUGACAGAUGAUAAAGAAGUAAUUAAAGUAUUGGAAGAGGUAUAUGGAGAUGAUAUUGAGGAGCUUGAUGUACAAGUAGGUCUAAUGGCAGAGAAGAAGAUAAAGGGUUUUGCAAUAAGUGAAACAGCUUUUACAAUAUUUCUUCUCAUGGCAUCUAGGUAAAAAAUAAAUUACAAUUAUUUUAUUUUAUUGAUGUUUUUACCUUCAUAAUAUUAAAAGUAUUGAAUUAUUACACACAUAAGGUUGAAAAACUAUAUAAAUAUCUAAUCAUAACUCAUGUUGAUAUUUGUGUGGACAUUUUUUAUGUUGUUAACUUGUCGUAGGAGUUUGCCCUUAUAAUCUUAAACGACAAAUGUUAAAGUAAAUUCUCUUGUAGACAAUUGUAAAAUGAUUAUUCCUUCAAAAAAAAAUUGUAAAAUGAUUAUUAUAAACCUGUUUUUUUUGAACAAGUCAAAAUGAAAUAUUAGGAAUUUGAAAAAAGGGUUAAGACUUUAUAUUCUCAAUCAGUUUAUAGCUAUUAAACUCAUCUCUUGACAUGUCAAAAUAGAAAAAAACAUAAUAAUAUUUUUAUAUGUAUGAAAAUUAUUUAUUUGAUUGAACUUUAAUGCACUUUGUAGGAGGCUAGAAGGUGAUAGAUUUUUCACAAGCUACUACAAUGAGGAGACAUACACCAAAAAGGGGUUAGAAUGGGUCAACACAACUGAGAGCUUAAAAGAUGUGAUUGAUCGUCACCAUCCACAAAUGACAAACAAAUGGAUGAACUCUUCCAGUGCUUUCUCUGUUUGGGACUCACCCUCAAUCAAACACAAUCCUAUUCCAUGUUACUUACGUAUUCCUAAUUGAUCACAAUAUUUUGUAAUUUGUAUUAAUGAGUGAGUGUUUUUGCUUUUCUUUUAAAUAAUUCACACUUGAUCAGUGUACAUGCCUUUAUGCAUGAGCCGGAUUAGUCGCCCAUCUUUGUAUCUCAUAUUGUUCUUCUCUUAAGUAUUUUAAUUAUUUUCUGCUCAAGAUUUGUCCUUUUCUUGAACAGCAUCAAUUGAUUUUUUUAUAAGGAGAUUUUGAAUAUGUCUGUUGUUGAGAGAAUCUUGUCUUAAUUGGUUGACUGUUGCUUGUAGCUGUAAUCUGUAAGGUAUAUUUGAUGCUUGAUCAAAUCUUCCCUUAAAUGAAAUGGAGGGACAUUAAUGUAUCUAUAUACUUACUUUAUACUAUUUGUUAAAAUUGAUAUCAUAUAAAUUUUCAAUUUUGCCCCUAAGAGGGGCAAUUUGGUAAUUCUAAAAUUCCUUAUCCUUGGAGAGUGCCAACUCAUCCAAACUUUAUAUUUUAUAUUUUAUAUUUUAUUUUAUAUUAUUUUAUUUUAUAUUUUAUAUUUAUUUUAUAAGAUUAAAAAUAUCUUAAAUUCAGUUGCUUCUACAUUGUCGUUGUGGGAGAUUAAGGUAUCGUUUGACCCGACUUUUUUUCAACUUCUCUACAUUUUUUAGAAGAAGUUAGGUCUAUGAAGCCCGCAUACCCCAAAUUGGAGACGUACCCGUACUGGAUACGUAUCAGAUUCUAAUACUCCGCGGAUACUCUUGGAUACGUAUGCACGGAGUAUCGGAAUUAAUUAUUUUAAUUUAAAAUAUAUAUUUUAUCGGAUACUUAAUCGACAAAUACACACGGGUACUUAUACAUUUUAUAUUUUGAUUACAUGUAUUAUUUUUUGUAAAUUGCGACUUUUAUAAUUAUAUAGUAUUGAAGAGUAAUCAAUGUUUUUCUAAGUAUUUUACAUGCAUAUAAAUUUUAGUAUAAAUAAUUUGUUAACGUAUCUUAACUAUAUCGUAUCCUAAUUUUAAAAAUUUCGCGUAUUCGCGUACCCGUAUCUGUACUACGUAUCAGUGCUUCACAGGGUCAAACACAAUAUCAAUUAAGUACUUACUAAAAAAAUACUUUUUUUGAAUGCAUAAAAUUGAAUGGAAUGAGCUUUGGCCAAAAGUUGUUGAAUGUUACUUUAUAAAACUACUUCUUGACAAUUUAUUUCACAAACACCUCUUUUCAACUUACGUUGGGAACCUUUUCUUUUAUUUUUAAUAUUAUAUUUCAAUAUGUUUUUUCUUCCAUUUAACUUAAUUUUAUUUAAUUUUUUGAACCAAUCCAUCUAAUUUUUUAAGGAGGUUCCAUUUAAUUUUAUUAUCUUUUUUUCAAAGGAAUUUAAUUUUUUUUUUUAUCACUUAUAUAUUUAAUUUCAAUAUCGUUUAGUCAUCACAACCUCACAAAUAUUUUUAUUCACGCUGUGAUUUAAUGAUACCAAAUAUUUUUAUUUUCUUUCUUCAACCUCGCGAAUACACACACAUAUUAACAUUUAGAGUAAUAUUUUAUGUCCAUUGGUAUGUUUUUUUGUUACGCUAAUGCAUAUAAUUUUAUUUUAGUGUUGCUUGGUUGAGUGAUACCUCACCGAUUUUUUUUAACUAUUUUCCAAUUUUUAUAUUUUUAAAUUUUUUUAACUAUUUUCCAAUUUAUUUUUAUUUUUAACUAUUUUCCAAUUUCUUCUCCCAAUUUCAGUUGCUUCUACACUGCUGUUGUGGGAGAUUAAAAUAUCGAUUUACCCGGAUUUUUUUUCCAACUUCUCUACAUUUUUAAGGAGAAGUUAAGUCAAAUACAAUAUCAAUUAAGUACUUACUAAAAAAAACACUUUUUUUAAUACAUAAAAUUGAAUGGAAUGAGCUUUGGCCAAAAGUUGUUGAAUGCUAUUUCAAAUAACUACUUCUCGACAAUUUAUUUCACAAGCAUCUCUCUUCAAUUCACGCUGGGAACAUUUUCUUUUAUUUUUUAAUAUUAUAUUUCAAUAUGUUUUUUUCUUCCAUUUAAUUUUUUUGAACUGUUCCAUUUAAUUUUUUUUAAGGAGGUUCCACUUAAUUUUUUUACCUUUUCUUCAAAGGAAUUUUAUUAUUUUUUUAUCAUUUAUAUAUUUAGUUUCAAUAUUGUUUAAUGAUCACAACCUCACAAAUAUUUUUAUUUACGCUGUCAUUUAAUGAUACCAAAUAUUUUUAUUUUCUUUCUUCAACCUUGCUAAUAUACACACACACGCAUUAUCGUUUAGAGUAAUGUUUUAUGUGUGUCUGUUUUUUUGUUACGUUAAUGCGUGUAAUUUUUUUUGGCGUUGCAUAAUGCGUAUGUUUAUUUUUAUAAAAAUUUGGUUUUAAUUAAAAGUAAAAUUGUAGAUGUCUUUUUUUCAAAAAAAGGUAUAGGUACCUAAAAAACUAUGCUUAAUUUAUUUCUUAUUCAUAAAAACUAAACAUAUUUGUUUCCAUGACACCAGCAAUGUAACAAAUAUAAUAUAAAUUCUUAUAUUUUUGAAAGAGACCGAAAAUAUGGUAUUCUUAUAACGAAAUUUGUUAUAGAGUAUAAUUGAAAUAAAAAAACCAACUAUUUUGAUAUUAUUUAUGUUAUUAUUUCAGACACCUUAAAUUGUUUCUCCUAUUCAAAUAUUUUUUUUUUGAGAAACCUAUUCAAAUAUUUAACAAGUCAUUUAUAUGAUGAUACAAAUUUGUAUUCAUGUUACACAAAAUAAACGUUAUUGAGUAAAUAUAGUAUUUGUAAAAAAAAGUAUCUUUUUUUUUUAACAUUUUUGGCCUUCAGAAAAUAUUUUAAAUAUUUUUAUUUAUUUAUUAUGUUAAUUCAUAAUAAAUUCAAAGUUUUGUCCUCGUGAGCUUUUGAUAGGAACAAUGCAUAAAUAAAUCUUACUUUGUUAUGUGGAGUAUAGUAGACAUCAUGAUGAUUGAAUUUUAGCUUGUGGUAAGGUUUUGACACAAUUGUUAUUUUAGCUUCUGGUACUGUAGUUGAAAAAAAUUGAUGCAUGCGGGUUAUUUUAUUUUUUGUGAGUAAUCCUAAAGUUGUAACAGUUUUCAUAUUUGAUUUAUUAUUUCCUAUAUCAUUGAGCAGUACGAAAGUUGAUUGGUAAUGUCAAAUGAUGCUAGCUAUAGAUGCCCAUGCAGGAGCGAUGUUUAAUUUCCGUUUGCUUCAACAAUGUUAAUUAGCCAACGGGGUACAUAUAAUCCACAUGCAUGCAUUUAUCUAGACUUUAUAGGAAGCUAAUAGGAAGAUAAAUUAGAAGUCAUGAUACAUUUUCUUUAGCUUAUGCUACCUUUAUUUUAUAAAUUAUAUGUAACUAUAUUCACAUACAUCUUAUCCAUGUUAAUAUGCAUUAGACUAAUAUUGCAGUUAUUUCUCUGUUUAGCAUUUUCCAAACGAGGUGUCAAGAACAAUUCUGAAAGAAAAGUGCAAAACAAUCACUCUCAUUGGUGACAAGACACAAAGAAAGUAUAAGUGUCGCCUCAUUACCUCCGAAAGAGCAAGCUAUGAAAAAUAUUUGGGUGGGCAGUGGUUCAAUUUCAGCAGAGAACAUGUGAUAGAAGAAGGUGGUAAGCUCAUCUCGAAAAGUCAUCGAAGAACUUGCACGUUCGAGUUGUUCAAAAGUAGAUCUUUAUUGUUGAACUAUUUGAACUUCUACUAUUUGCACGUUCAUGUUUGGUUAGUCUAUGACACUUGCGGUCUCUUUUAUAAAUCUAACUAUUAUGUAAUGUUAAUAUGCACAUUGUUGUUUCCUUCAUUGGUUCUAAUUAGUAUCAUGCUAAUUAUAAUGUUGUUUUCCUAAUCUCUUAAACAAAAUGAGAUUUGUGCAAUAUGCUUGCUUGAUUUUCACAUUUAUGAACGACAACAAUUUCUUAGAAAGAUGUAGUUAUUUUCCUUAAUUUGCUCAUUUCUUCUUUAUAACAAAGUUUUUUUAAAAAUAUAGUAACAGUGAUUUAUUUAGAAUAUCCGAGUUUGUGCAAUAUUCAUUAAUUUGCUCAUUUUUUCUUUGGAACAAAUUUUUUACAAGAUACGAUAUUCAACCCGUGCGAAGCACGGGUUUGUAACUAGUUAAUGGGAAAAAAAUGCACAUAUUCCUAAUUGUAAUGUGAAACUACUUUGAAUUAUUAUAAAGUUAGUUAUAAGCAACUAUAACAAUAUAAAAUAUCCUAAAAUAAAUCACUUUUUCUUUGCAAGUUAUGAUAUCUAUCUAUAUUUCAAAAGCUCAAACAAACAGGUUUGAGAAAUAUUGUCUCAUUCAAUAACGAAAAAAUGAAACCCUAAUUAUCUCACCAUAAUUUCCCCAAAAAUGUUUGGAAAAAAUACUCGGGUCAUGAGCCUUGUCCACAUCCAUUUCUUUCAAAGCUAGCUAGCAUAAACUCGUCUCUGAUAAACGGCAGAAUCGACUAUGGAUUUUUUUAAUGAAAAAUAUUAGCCGUUAGUUGUUAAAUUAAUAUUUAUUUUUAUGUCCUUCAACUUAUUUUUUCUUAACUCAAAUUAGUUGAGCUACUCCAAAUCUAAAUUAUCUUUUGAUAAAAUACAAGGCAUCGUUGUACUUCAAGUAGGUUCGUACACAACUUCAAUCUAAAAUAGGCUUUCAUAAUAUUCACCGGCAACAUCACAAGUCUAGGACAUCCUCUACCAUAUCUCCUCUCUCGUUUUGGAUCUUCACAAUUUUACCCUCUUUCUUGCAUUUAGCUUAUGCAUGAAAAAUAAAAUUAGAGUUUACGUCACCAUCUUUGAGCCAAACAAAUUUAGCCCUAAUAAUUUGCCAAAAAAUAGGCCUCCUAUUUUACCAACUUAUUCAUAUUGAUUUGUGCUGCCAAUAAGGCCUUCAAAUUUUGAUGGUUGUUUAUGCAUGCUAUAUACAUUCAGAACGAUGAAGACUAAUUCACCGCACAAAAAUUGGUUUACUUAGAUAAGAUAUUUAAAAUAGUGGAUAAUUUUUUUUUGAAAAAGCUUAAUGGUACGAUAGCUAGGCGAAGAAAAUCAUCGAAUCCACUACAGUCAUAGGAUUAUAUAUAAUAACCAUUGGAUUUAGGUUAUAUUUUAAAUUUAUUUAUUUUAAAAAUGUAAAAAUUCUACCGGCGUGUUAUUGUGUGCAGUCGUGCGCAUAUAUUUUGCACUAUAUAGCAAGGAUGGUUUUUUUUUUUUGUUGACAAAAACAAAGUGACAUUCAUUCAUUCAAAUUGAUAGAAUAUAUCAUAUCAUAUACAAUAACAUCAUCAAAAUCGUUAAAAACGUAAAGGAUGAAUCUGCGAACAAACUCAUAGUACCGAAAUUAAUAGCAUACAACAGAAAAAUGCAUAUAGAUAAUAUGAUAAAAUAUAAAUCACCAGAAUAAUCAUGUUUCCGGAUCUGCAACGUUGACGUCCAAAUCAUUGAUUGAAUCUGUGAUUGAUUGAAGUUGAUCUUUUGAUAUGAACCAAACAAACACCGCAACCAGACACAAAAUCAAACAAUGCCGCACAAGACGACUAGCAACACAACGCCCACUCUCAGACGACGAAAUCACGAAAAAAACACAAAAGAAAAAACUUGAUAUAUGUGAAAAUAACUUAUUUAGAUCGAAAAAAGGAAAAAAAAAAUAUGCAGACGAGUGAUUCUAGGUCAAAAAAUGAUCUAAAAUCACUCAUCCUCGAUGAGUGAAAAAGAACUUAACGGUGAAUAUUUUUGUUGAAAUAAAUUGGUAAAAGUUGUACUACUUCACUUUAGAUUUUUUAGAAGUAAUAUAUGGAUCCAUGUUCAAUGGUGUUGUCGGGAACCCUAGCUUGGGGUUUCAACUAUUAAACUUUGAUUAAUAAUUAUAAUAAUAUAUAUAUUAAAAAUUAUAUUGUAUUCAAUCUAUAUUGUACUGAAAGUACCUUUUUUUUUGACAAUUUGUAAAUUUUAAUAUGUAUCACUUAAAAAUUAGCAGAUGAAGUAUUAUCAAUAUUAAAUAAUUACUCAUAGUUAUCUCUAAAUGUAUACUUUGUUUUCAUAUUGAUUCAAUUUUUGAAGAGUCUCAUGUAUUGAAAUUGUGAUUUUGUAUUCAAAUAUAUUUUUUUAUUUGUCAACUUAGGUUAUAAAAUUAUUGUUUAAUGUAACCAAAAAAUUUGGUAUAUUUAAAGAUUAUAGUGACUGUAUCUCAUACAUUAAAUUACUUUAUUUGUCCAUUUAAAAAUAAAAGAAGAAAUAAAGCGAAUGAAAAAUUAUUUAAUAGAAAAUUACUCAAACAUUCAAUGUAAUAGAUAUAUGAACCAUUUUUUUUUUUGGCAACAUCAAUAUGAAAUUUUUGGUUGCAGUAUAAUAUACAUAAUUACCACGGGAGUUAAAAUGUCAUUAACUAAUUAGGUGGUUUACCAAAAAAUAAUUGAAAAUGCUAACACGCUGUUAUUCUGUCUUAAUCAAUAUGAAACUUUUUUUAAGGAUAACAUAUAGUUUAAUUCGGUAAGGGAAUAUAGGGCUUUAUUGCUUGUUUGAUGUGUCUAUGCAGGUUGAUACUCAUGACCGUUGAAUUUGGAUUCCAUAUUAAAAUGCCGGUUAUCCUGUUUUGGGUCAUUAUUGUCUUCGCACUCAUUGAAGGUGUCUUUAUUCGUUUGGAGGUUGUUUAGGAAUAGAUUGUCCACAAAGGACAAUUUGUUCAGACGAGGCAUGGAAUCGACAUGUCAUUUGUUUCUGUUAUGCAAUUUUUUUUUUAUAUGUGGCCUUUAGUGCGUAAUUGGCUUAUUUUUCUUUGGCUAAUCCAGCAGGUAUUUUGGAUCAAUUUUUAUAGUUUGGCAAUAUGGCAAGUGUCUCAAGAUUAAGGCGCUCUUAUAUGACUCUCAUAUAGUUAGCGUGCACUUGGGUUAUCUAAAAGGAAAGAAACAACAAUAUUUUUAAUAAAACCAAGCAAGCACUUUAAUUCAGUUUUUAGAUGAUAUUAAGCUACUCUCUUUAUGGUGGUUAAAGGCAAAAUUUGAAAACAUCGUAUUCAAUUAUCAUAACUAGUGCCUUAACCUUCUGACGUGUUCAGAUAUUGGCUAAUCCUUAUUGCAUUUUUUUCCCUUUUGUAAUUGAUUCAUUUGCCUCGCACACCUUGUGAUGGGGGAAAUGGUUUCUGGUAUUAAUAUAUUGCAUUUUGACUUUUUCAAAACAAAAAAAAAAUGAAUUACAUAUAGUUAUUCAGUCUUAAAAGUUUUUUUCUUUUUUAAAGGAAAGUUUUGUUAUCAAUUUUUAAAAGUAUAAAACUUUUCUUUUAAAUAUAAAAUUUCUUAACAAGUAUCAUCAAAGCACACGUUAACAAGAUCCAAAGAUAAUUAUCAUAAAUCGAGUUUAUGGCCUAACACAUUGAGUCAAAGAAAGACCUCUUUAACUUGCACAGAUGACAUUAUUAUCCACAUGUUCACAUGUGUUGAACUACUUGCUUUACUAAAAUUAGUAAUUAAUAAUUUCAAAUAAUAUAUUAUAAUUGUUUCAAAAUUAAUUUAUAAUAUGGUUAAUAAUACGGACCACAUACAUCAUUAAAUGAAUGAAUUAAAAAAGUCAAUUUUAUUUAUAUUUAAAAACGAAUGAAGUACUUGACAAUUUAUUAGCAUUUUCCUUACUAAUAAUAAUCGAGUCUAUCACCUAACACCUUGAGUCAAAGAAAGACCUCCAUAACUUGCACACGUGACAAUAUCAAUUUUUGAACCCCUCGAACCCACAUGUAGCAUGUGUUGAACUACUUGAUUUACUAAAAUUAGUAUUUAAUAAUUUCAAAAUUGUUUCCCUCAAAAAAAUAAUUUCAAAAUUGUUCAUUUGUUUGGUUCCAAAGAAUCAAAAUCUAUAGCAGCAUAUAUAAAUACAUACAUGAUCCUAUUCAUAGAAUCAAGAUCCAGAUAUCAAAUUGUUUAUUUGAUUAUUUGUCCAUAUCCUAUCUUGGUUUCUACACACAGGACUAGUUGAUGUAAACAAUGUGUAAUCAAAUGAAUUAUUGCCAUUAGGUUGCUUGGAAAUUAGAAGCAGCCUAAUCUUUUAAUCAUUUUCUUCAACAAAAAUACAAAAAUUAACAAAUCAUCGCGAUCCUCGUGGUUGUAUUUUAAUUUAUUUUACUACUUUAGAAUUAUUCAAUAUAGUUAUCAUUUUCAAUUACUCUUGUACGAUUAAAUUAUUGAAUAUUAUUUAGAAUAAAAAAAUGGUCACCUUCCUAGCAGCCAAUGAGACCAAAAUUGAAAAAGAUAAACUUUUCAAUUAUCACUAUUUUCCAUCUAUAAAUACCCUAUAGUUUUUCUUUAUCAAACACACACACAUUUCAUCAAAUUUAGUCCUGUAUCAAGCAAAACCAUGUGGUCUAUAAUAACGAAUCCCAUUAAAACCAUCAUUUCAAAUAUCAUACACCAUGCCAUCCAUAAAGAUUUCCAUGCAGCAGUGGCAAAAAUGUCCAUCAUAGAUGCUUUUCUCUUCCUUGUAUAAAUACUUUUCUUCAUCAUAUCAUAUAUAUUGUUUUUGUUAUUUUUCAUAAUUUAAUCCUUGAUAAUUGGGAAUAUGGAUCAAAUUGUUAUCGCAUCAAUGGUGUUUUUCUUUAUAGAACCAGGUGGAUAAGUCUAUAAAACAAGGUGGAUAAGCUGUUAAAACUGGAAAAUAGUUAUAACCUAGUUUAUAGGGUUUGAAUCAGGAAGAAGAAGAAUAGAGAGAAUUAAGUUAUAUUUAAAGUCUAUUUACUAAAGUAUUAAAAUGUUUCAUUUCAUCUUGAUAAAAAACUAUUAACCAACUAUACUAACAAAUUACAUAUCUACUAAUUUUUGUAUAGUAAUUUUUACUUUAUUAUGCUCAUGAACCCUACUUACAUUUUUUCUUAUGGCAUGUAUAGAUUGUACACUCCAUUGACAAGUUGGGAAUAUGGCACCGUUUACCUGUUUUCUUAGGGCUAAUAUACUUGGCAAUUAGGAGACAUCUUCACCAAGAGUACAAUCUCAUCAAUGUUGGAACAACACCUGUAGGGGUUAGGUCAAACCCUACUGAUUUUCCAUACAGAACUGCUGAUGGAAGAUAUAAUGAUCCUUUUAAUGAAAAUGCUGGAAGCCAAGGAUCUUUCUUUGGCAGAAACAUUCUCCCUGUUGAUCAGAAGAAAAAGGUACAAAAUUGAAAGUUACACCAUUGGCUAUUUUAGACUUUUUUUAUAUUAUUGACCUUUUCUUUUUUUGAGCAAUUAUUGACUAUUUAUAGUAAAUAAUAUUAGUAUGAGGUAUAUUCUCUUGUAAAAAAUAAUGUUAGUAUAUUAUAUUGGAAGUGGAGAUCUAACAAUUGACUAUUGUUACUAACUCCCUCCCCUCACAUAAGCUAUCAAAUAAACUUUAUAUCUGCCCCUUAAAAUAAAGUAAACUAUAUAUUAUCUCUCUCCCAAAAUAUAAAUAUAAAUUGGUCGACAAAAAUUUAUAUAUUUGAUUUAAAAUUUAUACUAAAUUCAUCAACUUAUAUUAAUUCAUUUUUGCUUACAUUUUAGAACAAGAGUAUCUAUUUUUCAAACUUACCAAUUAGAGAUAUAAAUUUAGACAUGUGUAAAAAAAUUAUAUAUAAAAUUAGAGAUGUGAGAAAAUUGAAAUUAUAGUCAUACACUUUUAAUGCAUAUAUAAGAAUUAAUUACAUAUGAAUACAAGACAAGCAGACAAUAAACUGCACUAUAAUGCUUUUUUAGGAGUUGCUACAAUUUUUUUUAGGAGGAAAGAUGCUACAAAUUUUGAAGAUCAUUUUAGUUUGUUCUAUAUAGCUUCUUUUAAUAAACAUUUUGUUCCUUAAUUAUCAAAGAAAGAAAUUAUAGAAGAAUCUUAUAAUACUAAUAAGAUGUUUUAGGUAGCUAGUUAAUGAACCUUUUUCGGUUAGCUCUUUUUUAUUCCCUUGUUGAAUAUAAAAGCACAAGAUGUGCAUGUGCAUGAAUGUAAAACAACACUAGAAACAAGAGCUGCCGAAACCGAAUAAAAGGUUAGCUACACAAAAAACACUAUGAUGAGUACAUAAUUUUCAAAGAAUAUAUAUAAAUAUUAAUAUUUUUGUUUGACCAAGAAAAAUAUUGUGUUUAUGCAGUUGUUGAAACCAGACCCAAUGGUGGUGGCAACAAAACUUCUAGAGAGGAGAACAUAUAAGGACACAGGGAAGCAAUUCAAUGUGAUUGCAGCAUCUUGGAUUCAAUUUAUGAUACAUGACUGGAUAGAUCAUAUGGAAGACACUCAGCAGGUGCAAAUGAAUAUUUUUUCUAAAAAUAAAUUGAAUAAACAUUCAUUUUUUCCUACUUGGUAUUCAUCGGUGUCACGACGAUAUUUAUUAGAUAUUUUUUAUAAUAUUACUAUGUAGCCUGGUAAAGUAAAUUCUGUUAUUUCAUCGAUGAAUAUGCCACAUCAUAAAAAACGAUUUAAAAAUUGACGGAUAUGUCACAUCGUUAAAAUGACUUAAAAAUAAGAUGAAAAAACUUGAUUUUUAUAGUGAAAAGACAAAAUUUCUUUGUUUCAAUCCCAAAUACUAAUAAAAACUAAAUUAAAUUAGAUUCUCUUUGACAAAAAUAUCAAAAUUUAUCAAUUUACUUGGUUAACCAAGAGUAGUUAAUAAAGUCAACACAUUAUUUUUAUCGCCAAUUAUGUUUAGACAUCCUUAAAUUUCAUACAGAUAUUUAACAUUUUAUUUUAGUUUAGUUUUUCUUUUCUUGUCGAAUCAUUAACAUUUUUUUUAAGUAUUAUCACAUCAUUAACUCAUCACCUUAAAUUUUCUAAUUUUUUUCCCUAUAAAGAUAUUUACACCAAAAAGUCUCCACCUAACGUUAUGCUAAUUUCAUAUACUCAUCAUUUUAGGAAUUAUACUAGUUUCUCAGUUUUUUCUAGAGAAUACUACUAGUAGUGCCUUGAAUUUUACACGUUACGUCUUUGGUUUUUUUUAAUAUAUUUAUGACGUUACAUAUCGAAAACAUCAUCAUCAUAAAAUAAUAUAAGAGACGUAACAAUGUAACACUACUAGAAAAAGCAAAAUUAGCGAGGGAAAUUAGUGACCGAAAAAAUGAAAUUCCUCACAAAUUUUUUGGUCGCAAAAUUUAAUGACGGAAUUAGAGAGGGAUUUCAUGUUUUCUCUCACUGAAUAUCCCUCACUAAUUUUUGUUUUUUAGUAGUGUAACUCUAUUUUUUUUAAUGCUUACUCACGUGUUUUCUCCGAUCUAGAAUAUAAUUAAAAAAAAAUAGCAAUCAAAGUAGAUGCAUGUAGUUCAAUUUUUUAACAAGAUAGUACGUAAAUCAACUUUGUAUAACUUUUCUUUUUAUCGGAACAAAUACAUAUUAGCCACGUAAACACAUAUCCAUGAAUUAUCUUGACCCCACAAAUAAAUUGCUCAUUUUCAUUGGUUUAUAGGUAAAUUAUCCACCAUUCUUCAAAGAUAAUUUAGAGGAAAAAAACCCGACAAUAAAGUGUCAAUUUAGUUUAGUGUUAUAUGGAUGAAAAAUCACGAUUACGAAUGACCUAAGUGUACUUAUACAAUUUAUUAAACAAUGUUUAAACUAAAAUUUUAUUGAUAAUGUUGUUGUUAAUUUUCAAGAACAUUUACAAAUAAUGUUUUAUAUUAAUUACAUACAGAUUGAACUCAUUGCACCAAGAGAAGUUGUAAACCAAUGCCCACUUAAAUCUUUCAAGUUCUUCAAGACAAAGGAAAUCCCAACUGGCUUCUAUGAGGUCCAGACCGGACAUGCAAACAUCCGUACACCUUGGUGGUAAGAAUUUUUCUAAAUCAGAGACAAAAACAUAUUUAAUCCUAAAUUAUAUAAAUUUAAGACCUUUUAAAUUGAACUUACACAUGACAUGACAUGAAUGAAACUAUAUGAUAAUAGGGAUGGAAGUGUGAUAUAUGGAAGCAAUCAAGAAGUUUUGGACAAAGUGAGGACUUUCAAAGAUGGUAAAAUCAAAAUAUCAAAGGAAGGUGAACUUCUUCAUAAUGAAGAUGGAACAGCAAUUUCAGGUGACAUUCGUAAUAGUUGGGCUGGUGUCACAACUUUGCAGACCCUUUUUGUUCUAGAACACAAUGCUGUGUGUGAUUCUCUUAAGGUAUAUGCAUAUUAUAUACAUUAAACAAAUCUAUAAAAUGAUAUAAUAAAAUAUAAAAAAACUAACAUAUAUAUUUGAUAAUUGUACUCUAUUAGAAGGAAUACCCAGACUUGGAAGAUGAAGAUCUUUAUCGCUAUGCUAGACUGGUAACUUCAGCUGUGAUAGCAAAGAUUCACACCAUAGAUUGGACUGUGGAGCUUCUUAAAACUGACACUUUGCUUGGAGGCAUGCGCGCCAAUUGGUAAGAACACAUGCAGUGAUUUUCACUGUCGUUAUUACUUCAUAUACGUCUCAUUACGGGUCAUUGCAAAACUAUGUAUUUAAUAUAAAAUGCACAAGUUUUAAUAUUAACUUGUUAGUUUUGAUUUCUUAAUUUAUGCAAGUUUGCACAUGAUAGAAAAACCUUUAGUUUUUUUUUUUUUUUAUGUUGAUUGCAUUAAUUUAUGUCAUGAUACUAAAAGUUCAAUUGUUUUAGGUAUGGAUUACUGGGAAAGAAAUUCAAGGACACAUUUGGGCAUUCCGGAAACUCCAUAUUGAGUGGAUUUGUGGGCAUGAAGAGAGCAGAAAAUCAUGGUGUUCCAUACUCUUUAACUGAGGAAUUUGCUAGUGUCUAUAGAAUGCAUCCACUCCUGCCUGAUUUCCUGCACUUGAGAGACACAUCUGCCUCUCCUGGGCCUAACAAAUCUCCGCCAUUAAUCAAAGAGUAUGACAAUAUAUUAUGAUUUUUACAUCAUCAUAACUAUUACGCCCUCUGGUCUUAAAAUAUAAGAGAAGAUUCUCUUUUCAAGUUCAUUGAAUAAAUGAUGUAUUUAGUUCACAUUAUAAUCUAUAAAAAAAGUCUCUCUUUUCUAUGGUAUUAUAUAGGAUUCCUAUGAACGAUUUGAUCGGACUACAAGGAGAGAAGACCUUGAUAGAGAUAGGAGUUCAAAAACAAUUGGUAUCAAUGGGUCACCAAGCUUGUGGGGCCCUAGAACUUUGGAACUAUCCAUCAUGGCUCAGAAACCUAGUACCACAUAACAUGGAUGGCACAGAAAGAUCUGAUCAUGUGGACUUAGCUGCUCUUGAAAGUAUGAUAUAUGAACCUCACCUUUAUUUUUAAGAAUUUCAUUUUUUUUUUUUUUUUGGGUUACAUAGGCCAUUUCUUAUCUUAUAUUGAAUUGACUUAUAAUGUGAUCAUAUAAAUGGUGCAGUUUACAGGGAUAGAGAGAGAGGUGUAGCAAGAUAUAACCAAUUCAGGAGAGGACUAUUCAUGAUACCUAUUUCUAAAUGGGAAGAUUUAACAGAUGAUAAGGAAGUUAUAAAAGUAUUGGAAGAGAUAUAUGGUGAUGAUGUUGAGGAGCUUGAUGUGCUUGUAGGUCUCAUGGCAGAGAAGAAGAUAAAGGGUUUUGCAAUUAGUGAGACAGCUUUUUUAAUCUUCCUUCUCAUGGCAUCUAGGUAAAAUCGAACUAAAUUUUUUAUUUUAUUUUAUUGAUGUCUAUACCAUUUACGAGGGGUAACCUUGGUGCAACUGGUAAAGUUGUUGUCAUCUGACUGGAAGGUCGCGGAUUGAAGUCAUGUAAACAACCUCUUGUGUAAAAAACAGGGUAAGGCUGCGUACAAUACACCGAAUGGUGGGACCCCAUCCUGGAUCUUGUGUAUGCGGGAGUUUUUGUGCACCGUGUUGCCCUUUUUUUAUAUAUCUAUACCUCUUUUAUAUCUAAAUGUUUAGGGUUUAAGCUUUUAUAAAAUUGAAUUUGAUUGAACUUUAAUGCACUUUGCAGGAGGCUAGAGGGUGAUAGAUUUUUCACAAGCAACUACAAUGAGGAGACAUACACUGAAAAGGGUUUGAAAUGGGUGAACACAACUGAAACCUUAAAGGAUGUGAUUGAUCGUCACUACCCAAAAAUGACAAACAAAUGGUUGAAUGCUUCAAGUGCUUUCUCUGUUUGGGAUGCACCACCAAACAAACACAACCCUAUUCCAAUUUACUUGCGUGUUCCUAGUUAAUCAAUUUAAGUUAGCAUUAUAUCUAUGUUGUAUUUGUGUUUAUACAUACACAUUUAUGUUUAUGUGUAUGUAUUGGUGUUUAUUUAUUUGUUGAUUUGUAUCUUUCAAAAUAAUCAUCUGUCCGUUCAAGAAUAAAAUCAUGUUUUGUAUUUCAGUUGAUGGGUGUUCCACUAGUUUUUUAUUUGUAUUAUGAUGUUUCUAAGUUAAUAUAAUGAUGCUUAAACUGUAAACUUAACGUUGCACUACAACAUAAUUAAGAUUUGGUAACAUUUGAUAAUUGUAACUAAAUCAAGAAAAAUAUUACUGAUAAAAUUUAAUAACAUUUGAGCAAUUGCUAGGUAAAACCUUUGUUAUUAAAUAUCUUUAGUUACAUUUUAUAGUAUUAUCUGUAACAAUUAAAAUAUGUCGCAAAAUGUUACAUUAUUGUAACAUCUUUUGUAUCAUAUAAAAAAAUGUUACAUUCAUAAUUUUUUAAAAGUUGUAAAAAAAUGUGGCAAAAUUGUAUAGACAAAAAAAUUGUGAAUCUAUAAAAAAAAUUAUUCCAUUGAAAUAAAUUAGAAAAAAAGUGGAUGUUGUAGUCAAUCAACCACAAUUAAUAUAGAAAUCACGGAACAGGUAUUUUUACACAACCUAGACAAAUCAUAGUACUAUAUUUCGAUCAACAAGUUUGGAUAACAAGCCAUGAAAUAAGAUGUCCUAACUAAACCUAUUUAUCACUUUUUCCACAAAAUAAAAAAUAAAAAACUAGCCAUGAGGGAAUCUAAGCAAGCUAAUGAUGCAACCCAAUUCUUCUUGGUUGUACUUUCAAUUGUUUGAUAAGUUUGCAACACCAUCUUAAUUAAUAGUUUCACUUGGAGCAACAAAUAUCUUCUAGCCGCAAGUAUUUAGAAGGAAUGUGAGAACACAAACAAAAUAAAAGUAAAUUUGAGGUAUAAGUGAUUGAACCAAAUCUGAUAAUCACAAAAAAAAAUUGAGAUAUAAAGAUGGAGCAGAAUUUACCUUUUCUAAAAACAAGCAACAAAAGUCUAUUGAUUUAAGUGUUACUACUUUCUAAACAGAGUAAGGAUCUGAUAAUGCAUAAACCAAUGUUUUAAUGAUAUAUAAUAUCCAACAUUUUUAAACCCAUGCAUUGUUUUUCUUUUGGUUACAAAAACCCAUGCAUUGUUGAACAAAACUACCUCAAUUAAAAUAAGUUUUGAUAAUAUAACUAAGGCUUAAAUAUGUGUAUAGUCCUUGCAAAUAGACCGUGGUUGAAUUUUAGUCCUUGUACUUACUAAUCCUCCUAAUUUACCACUGCAAAUAUUAAUCACUUAAAAUUUGGUCCGAAUUAUGAUUUUUUGAUGAGGUGGAGAGUCAUUAGCGACGUUGCGCUAUGUAUCAAGUGGUGACUGGGUAUGAGCGAUGCCACGUCAGUAGAACAGACUUGAAAGAUCAUUUUUGCCCUUAAUGAGAAAGCUUAUGCUGAAAAGAUGGGUUUGCCCCUGUCUUCAUCUUCUUCUCAUUCCUAUUCUUCUUACUGGAUGUGCAACUCUCCUUCCUUCUUCUCUCCCAUGAACCUUAACAAUCAGAAUAAAACAAAAUUAAUUCUCAAAAUUAGAAAAAGAAAAACAGUUAAAGUCUUAAGUUCCCAUCAUUAUUUUCUACAUAAAUUGUGUUUCUUGUCACUAGUUGCUUCAAUCUAGCAUGUAAUAAUAGUAGGAUUUCUCUCUCUUUUUUUCCUUAAUAUCUCUUGUGAACCGUCACCAAAACUCUAAUUUCUCCUUCUUCGUCCAUAAAAGAGGGAUGAUUUUAAGUUAAAAAUUUACUCAAAAUCACCCCUCUAACUCGUUUUUCUCUUUCCCUCUUAUUGAAAUAAGUGAUUUUUGCAUUUAUUUUGUUUUUUAUUUUGUGAUUUUGUCGUCUAAGUACAACGUUGGUUUGUCUGUCGUCUUUGUGCGGCGUUGUUUGUCUUUCUUGUGUCGUUCAGGUAAUUGUUUGGUUCAAAUUGUCAUAUCAGCUUCGAUCCAAUGCGGAUCCAAUCAAUAAUUUUGGCGUCGUCCACGUUGCAUAUCCGAAGACAUGAAUAUUCUGAAGAUUUGAAUAUAGUACUAUGUGUGGGCUUUUGUGUUUUGUUGUUUUAUGCUAUUAACAUAUUUGCAGCGAACUUGUAUUGUAUCAAUGUACUCUAUCAAUUUGGAUAAAUGAAUAUCAUUUAUUUUUGUAAAAAAAUAUAUAUAUAUUAUAGUAGAGUUUCAUUAUCCAAUGAUUAAUUUUUUUUUUUAAGUUCACCCAUGCUGAAAGAGUUGUCACACUGUCUCACACUGGACCGAGCCUCAACAAAUAUUUUUAUCAAUGUUUAUAACUUUGUCAAAUUCCCAUUAAAGCAAGAAAAUUGCUCUUCACGUUUUUUAUUUUUUAUUUUGUUUAUUCUCUUAAUUCAACGUGAAUUAACUCACGUUCGAUAUUUUUUAUGUUGGCAUUUUUAUAAUUGGUUCAAUCAUUUUUUAAAUCAAUUCAACCGAUCUUAAAAAUGUCUGUGUAUACUAAUUCAUGCUGAAAAACGUCAAACAUGAACUAAGUGACAUUGAAUUAAGGGAAUGACUAAAAUCAAAAGGGAAAAGAGCGAUUCUCUUAAAGCAAGGUAAGGGUGUGAGCAGAACGUGGGCAUGGGAAGGAACAGAUCCAUCACAUUCAGCAUUCUGCAAUUUAAUUCCAACCACAAUAAUUACAAGAGAUUUACUUUUCCCACCUUAUGACCUUCUCCUGCACACUGUAAAAUUUUCAAAAAUGCCCUUGUGGAGUUCGGAUUUUAAAAUCCGAAUUCAUUUUUACUAUUUCGGAUUUUAUAAUUCGGAAAAUUCUUAUGUAUAAUCAGUCAUCAGACUCUCACAUUUCGGCAGUUUUGACUUUUGCUUUUAAAAACAACAAAAAAACUAAGUAAAAAAUGCUUAAAACUUAUCAAAUAAAAUCAUAAAAAACAAAAAUACCACAAAAAAUUCUAAAAAUCAAAUAAAACUAAUGCAAAAAAUUUCGGAUUUUUCUAAGAAUAUGAAAAAUUAAAAAAAAAAAUUUAAAAAGGGGUCUAAACGUUGGAAUUUUGGAUUUUGAGGGGCGGAGUCCCGUAAGAAGUUUCAAGGCAAUCCGAUCAAAUAACCCGAAAAUCCGAUUUUUGAAUAAAAACAGGUAACAAUGUCCCAAAACAGAAGGAUGAGAGUUAGGAAGAUUAAUAUUAUCCCUAAAAUGACUAUCCAUGUUACAAACAUGUUUAGAAUUUGUGCCGAUACAGUUCGGAUUAUAUAAUCUGAAUUGUUUUCACUUGAAAAAUGGGGUUUAGGGGUGUUCAGAUUAUAUAAUCCGGAAAAUUUAUGUAACGCACCCUAGUUUUUGAAGUUUUCGGAUUACAAAAUCCGGAAAAAUCCGUAACUCAUUUUUUCACCCUUUGUCAAAAGAAAAACACCAUUCCGGAUUAUAAAAUCCGAAAACUCAAAGACAUUAUUGAAAAAAAAAUAGGACGCACGAGGAAACACACAGGAUGGAAAAAAAUAAGGAAAAUUCUACGGUGAAGUCAUAAGAAUGACUUUUUUUGGUGAAGUUAACACUAUAACAUCAAAAAUGUAAUGAGUAACACCCCACUGUUUGUAGAAUGACAUCAAAAGUUCAGCCCUCAUAGUAUCAUGAAUUCAUCAAGUUAACAAGACUACACUUAAUAUAAUUUUAUCAUACCUUGUUCUAAGCGUAACACCCUACAAAGUGUAACACUUAAGACUAUCACAUAAUAUCAUCAACUCUAUUUGCAUGUUAAAGAUUCCAACGAUAAAAUAGUACAUGUAAGUCCAAGAUGUUACAAGCAUUAUUAGAUGAAUAUACUAUUGAUCAUUAAUCAGUAAUCAACAAUUUAAAAAUGAAUCAAACAUUAAAAUCAAAAUUAACUUUUUUCAAAAAAGUCAGUUUCCUGACUGCACCGUAGAAGCUCCAAGUAAGAAAAUCUCUAAUUACAAUAGGUUAAUAUUGGGAACAAAAUAAUAAAAGAGGUAAUGGAUACUGUUUUUGGCAUGGAAUCUGAUAAUGCCAAAUUCGUGGCAUACCGUUUUGUUCAAAUAUGAUAUGAUACAUAAAUACAAUAAUGUCACCAUCUUAGAUGUCUUUGAUAUUUUAAUCAAUACUCCAUAAGUAAUUGAAAUAUUGAAUAAACACAAAAAAAAAAAAAAAAAAAAAAAAAAAAAAAAAAACUCAUUUGUCAAGAAAAUAAUCAUGAAUCCAUCAUUGUCAGAACAACAUUGAAUCAAUACAAAAAAACGUGUCGAAAUGUAACAAAGAAAGUGCAGGAUUUGAGAAAUAAAUCAUCCAAUGAAUCUUUUUCUUUCAAAAAGAAAAUCAUCAAAUGAAUCUUUUGAAAGAUAUACUGUCAAAGACUCAAAAUGAAUUAUAAAAGUUAGAUAUGAGAACAAAAAUAUUCUCAAUGAAAUGUUUAUUACAUCAACAUUUUUCCCCCUAGAUUUAACCGAGUAGAUAAAAAGAUAUUUUCAAAAGAUGCCGGAAUUAAAACCAAAAUGUGCUACAAUGGAAGGGACAAAACAUAUUUAAACUUUUUCUUUUACAUUUGAAUGUAAUGGUCGAGCAUCUAUAACUGAGAUAUUUUUUUUUGGUACCUAAGUGGGUCUCACGUAUAUAUAACUUAUUUAUAAUUUUUUUAAUAAUAAUACUAAUAAGCACUCAAUUCCUUCAACUCAUCAUCUCAUACAAAUUUCUUAAGUAGGAUCCAUUAAUCAAUUAUCAUUAAUUUUAUAUCAUUACAUUUAAAAAAUUAAAUAUUAAAAAAAAUGUGGGUUCCACUUGAGAUUAGACGUCUUAAGUGAGACUUUGAAUCUUAUAAAACUUUGACAACUUUUUUUUCUCCAAUAGAGUCCCUAACAAGUACCAACUCUUAAAAAGUUUAAAACUUUUCCAUUAGAGAUUAUUUUAGAUAGAACUAGGAAAGGUGAAUAAAAAAUUGGUUUUUAGAUAUGCAUCAAAUAGUGUGGCAAAAAAAAAAAUCUGAAUCAAAUGGUCAUAUGUAUUUGUUUUAUGGGUCUUGUUAACCAGUGUCCUCGGGAUAAUGGUUAAGGAAACUAAAAGUAGUAGUUUUGUAUUGGAAAUUACAACUUUUUGACUUUUAGAAAGUUGAAUUUAACACUUUUUACCAUUUUCCAACAAAUUAUUUCUAUUUAUGUUCUCUUAACCAAUGCCUCAAGAACACUCUUUAGCAUUUCCCUUGUUUUAUAGUAUAAUCAAGUGUGCUUGAUCAAUCUUGCGGUUUUAAAGGUAAUGCAAAGUUAGAGAUCUAUCAAAGUCUUCUCAAUCUAGACUGAGCCAUAAAAAUGGAUACAUGAUUUAUUCUCGUGAGCAGAAGUCAUUUAGUAUAGAUAAUACAUUGUAUAGGCAUGACAACAAAACUCAUAUUCGCAGGUACGCACCUGAAUCAAACUCAAUUUGACGGAUUUUCUUCGUUUUGACUGGGUUCGGGAAUGAGUUUGGGUUUUCACCGCUAUCGAAACAGGGGUACGGGGUGGGUAAUGGGAUAUAUGUACUCAUCUCAAACCCAUACUCAAACUCGUUCCAAAUGUAGAAAAUCAAUUUAUUACCCCUUUUAUAUAAAUAAAAAUCCAAACCCUAAGUCAUUAUACUCACACAGUCAGAGUAUCUGACUUUCAGAUGACACUCACUUAUCAUAGUUCCCUCUUUUCUACUUUCAUAUCUCACAAUCUUGACCUCUCUCUUGUCCAUGACCAUAGCCAUCAAUCACCAUCAUCUUUUUGUUGGAUAAUGCAUUACACUAUUGCGCUUGAGGCUGAAAGAUACUUUUAUUUUUAUUAAAAAAAAUUAUCCGUUGCGGGGAUGGGAUGGGCGAUGAUACCCCAACCUGUCGGGGACGAGGAUGGGAUUCGAUUUCUCGUCCCCGCUGGAUAUGGGUAGGGUAACGGGUAAGUAUAUAGGACUAAGGUAUGAGAAAGAGAAGGUAAAACUCGUCUCCAUCCUACCCUAUUGUCAUGCCUAACAUUGUCACAUGCAAAAAUGGGAAUUUGAAUCUCACAUUCAUACUUUUUUAACUUUUUAUCUUUCAUUAAUACUUUUUUGAAGGAAAUCUUUCAUUAAUACUCUUCAAUUGAAUUAUUUAUUUUUAUUGUAAUUUUAUCUUUUAUAUAAUAUUUACAUAUUUAUUAAAAAAAAAUUGUUUUUUUUUAAGAAAGGACUUAAAAUUUUUGUUAAAACUCGUUAUAAUUGGAACUAUUUCAUUACAAUGUAAACCUUUUCUUUUACUAUAGAUCAAAUCUUUUGAUUGUGGUAUAUUAAAAGAAAGGCUUAAAUGUUAUUUUGGUCUCUUAACUAUUUAAUUGGUAUUGCUUUGGUCCCUUAACUAAAAAAAAGAUUGUUUGAGGAUUUUAAGUUUUUUUUUAGUCUCGUUUUGGUCCCUUCUGUUAGGUUUCCAUUAGGGUUUUAAAAAAGAAGUUAACUAUUUAAUUGGUAUCGCUUUAUUUUUGUUUUCCUCAAUCAAUUGGUCCUAUGUCAUUAAUUCUAAUCUACUAAAAAAGAAGACCGUUGGAUAAAAGAGAUUCAUAAGAUGUAACGAUGUAUCACCAACACAUAAUUAAUUUUAAUUUCAUUAUCUUCUUCCUUCAUCUUCAUCUAACCUUCUUCAUCAACAUUCAUCAUCUUCAACAAAAUUAUAAUCUUCACCAUCAUCUUUCCAUUACAACCUCCUUUAACACAUCACAUCCAAUCAUUAUUAACCGGUUUCAUCUUUGCCAUUUUUAUUUUUAUUUUUGUAAUUUAAUCAUAUUUUAGCCUUUCAUCUUCUUUGCAUAACCUCUCACAAUAUUCUUCAGUUUCGUUGCUUUCACUCGAUGGAAAAGCACAAAAUUAUGUAUUAAUCAUCCUCCCCAUGAUAAUUAGCAAAUAAUCCUUUUCUUUUAUUUCCCUAAAAAACAAAUCCUUUUCUUUUAUUCUUAUCACUUUGUCAUCGCCAACUUCUCAAACCAAAAAAAGAAUCAAAUCUUCAAAGAUAAUAAAUCUGAAAAAACAAAACCUGCAACAAACAUGGAACCUAAUGAAUGAAAAACCUGCACAGAUUCGAACGUCAAGCUGAUAAAAAAAAAUAAAAAAGGGUUAGGUAAAGUUGGCCCGGCUUUUUUUCCAGCUUUUCUACAUUUUUAAGGAGAAGUUAGGCCAAACACAAUAUCAAUAAAGUAUCUUCGAAAAAAAAUACUUUUUUAAAAUGCAUAAAAUUGAAUUGAAUGAACUUUAAGCAAAAGUUGUUGAAUGCUACUUCAAAAAACUACUAAGUAAUUCAUUUUUUUUAUAGUUGUGAUUAUGAAAGAUUUUCUUAUUCAAUCAAUAAUGACUUCGACAAUAACAUCACUAAUACAGAGACACAAAUAUUACAAACACCUUAAAUUCAUUCAUUUUAAUUUUAGUAACACGAACUUUAUAUCAUUUCAAUGUAACCUAUCAAUUUCAUUGAAUUAGUUCUUUAUAUCAUUUGCUUCCACAAUUUAUUUAUUUUAUAAAAAAAAUAACUAGUGAGAUGCAUGUGAAUUUCGAUUUGCUAUGAAUUUCGAUUCUAUGAAAUACAAUCAACCAAACAACUGAACACUCUUGGAAUUAUUAACCUUUUGCAGAUCAAGCCAGGAAUACAACAGAAAUUCAACCGUUUCCAAAAAGAGAAAUUCAACUCAUGGCCAUGUGAACUCGUGGCUUCAAUGAAUUCAACUCAUGGCCACGUGAACUCGUGGCUUCAAUUUUUUAUUUUUAAAAAGUUGAGUUUAUAAAAGUUUUAGUGAAUCGAGCAUUAAAGACUUAUAAUUAUAGCAGAUCUUAAGACGAUAAUAUAAGAUCAGAUAUAAAUUUCUAUAUGUAUUGAUUACUCUUUUUUCAACCGAGGCUAGAACAACCGCACAAGUAAGAGAGACGUCACACUCUUACUCAAAACCUUAAGGCAUUAGAUUUAUGGCUCCUCUUACUUGUAAGGUGUUCAACCUUUACUCUUUUAUCCGAUGUGGGACAUAUAACUCACACUUAUACGCAACAACAGAUGACACCAAUUUAGAUGAAAAAAAUAUAUAAAGAAAACGAUGAAAAACUGUGAUUUCGGAACAAAAAAUCAGCCAAAAUCACUAAUCUUAAGUAGGUAAAGAAGAAGGUAGAACUUUUUUUUUUUUUUUUUUUUUGGUACAAAGAAAGUAGAACUUCUAUCAAUAAACAAACUAGAGUCGGCUUAAAGUUCGAACACUAAAAUGAUUUCUUUCUUAAUUGAAAUCAAAUUAAUUACUUAUUAAUCUUAUGUUAAAAAUGUCUUUUAAGUCGUAUUAUAAACCAUACAUAAACAUAUACUUUCUCGUGUCACCAUUAUAAACAAUUUUUUAUUUAUUUAUUGAAUGAUUAACGUAAAAACAAUAAUUUAUUGAAUAAUAUAUAUAUAUAUAUAUAUAUAUAUAUAUAUAUAUAAUUUACUAUACAUUUUGAAUAUAUUAGUUAUUUAAUGAAUUAAAAAAAUAAAAUAUUUGCUUAUAAUAACUUUCGAGGGAGUGUAUUAUCUUAUAGAAAGCAACAGUGUUCGGAUAUUAUUCAAUAUGAGUAUUCUUCUUCGUUUUUCGUGUAAUGUUAUACCUUCUUUUUUCCUGAAUUAAAUAAAUAACUUAAGGAAGAAAAAAAAACUCAAAAUUAAAGUUAAUUGGGGUGGCAUCGAACACAUAUGUCAAGUGUGAGUUAAAAGUUUUUCAUUAAGUGAAAGGGCUAAUACUAAACAAGAAAUAAUGAGUAAAAUAGAUAACUCAUACAUCUAACUAAUAUCUUUUUCAUUUUAAAAUAGAUAACACUCUCUUUUGAACAUUCACUUUAGUAACAUCUUUUCAAUUUUGACCUUGUCUUGGAAUCAUUUUCAAGUAGUACACAUUCCGACAAUAAUGAUAGAAACAUUUUAUAAAGAAACAUGAAUUUUGAACUCUGCCCAUGUGCACGAAAUAAAUAAGUGGGAAAUCUUUGAAAAGUGUUAAACAUGAGAAUGUGAAACAAAUUCAAUAAAGCUAAUGAGUGUAAAAUUGGAAUAAUGUCAUUUAAUAGGAUGACUUUAGUAUAUCUUUGCUUACAUUUGAGACCACAAAUUUUUUAUUUUGUUUCUUACAUUUGAGAUUAGACAGGGUAUAUACCAAUAUCCCAUUUUCAACCAUCUCUUUAAUAUUCACUAUAUCACUGUAUGAAAUUAAUGUAGAUCUCAUUGUUAUGUCUAAAUCCCAUUGAUAUUUGUAUUUAAGGAAUGUUGUCACGUCAGUUAGUGAGAUAUUGCAAGUCUUGUGUACUCAUUAAUGAGAUAUAACAAAAUCCCAUUUUCAACUAUCUCUUUAAUAUUCACUCUAUCAUUAUAUGAAAUCAACGUAGAUCUCAUUGUUUUGUCAAAGAAAUAAAUGUAGAUUUCACUGUUUUAUGUGAGAUCCAUUUCUAAAAUUUGCAACCUACAUUAAUUGUAUUUAACGAAAGAGUGAAUAUUUGAAAAACUGUUGCUAGCAUUACUUUAAAUGAUAUGACAACACAUCGUUAAUGCACAUGUAUAGAACUUAUACCGACGGGUUAUAUAAAUUAAACUCUUUAAAGAUAUGUCCACGUUUUCAAUUACUCUUGUAUGAUUUUUUUUUUAUCAUAAAUUCAAAAACAAAAAAAUUAAAGAGAUAAACUUCUUGGUCCUCUCCCUCUCAUGCUCUCUAUAAAUACCCUAAGUCUCUUCUCUAAAUAACAUGCACAAACACAUUUCAUCAAAUCAAGUCUUGUAUCAAGCAAAAUCAUGUGGUCUUUAGUAACAGAUCCCAUUAGAAAUCUUGUUACAAUAGUUAUACAACAUUCCUUCCAUAAAGAUUUCCAUGAAGUAGUGAAGAAAAUGACCAUCAUAGAUGCUUUUCUUUUCUUUAUACGAAUACCCUCCUCCAUCAACUCAACUAUAUUAUCCUUCCUUCCUUAAUAAUAAACAUACAUAGGGUCUAUUUACACUGACUUUGUUUGAGUUUAUCUACAAGUAUAAGCUUUUUUACACUUAGGGAAGAACUUUUUUUUUUGAAGAACUUAUGAGAACAAUUUAUAAUAGUGUUCAUCUUAUUUUCGUAAUUUUUCCAAAAUAGCUUAUGAAAAACUUAUAACUUGUAUAAAAACAAUAUAACUUUGUUUUAUCACUUGCAAAAGAAAUAGUUUGUAGAUAAACAUUUAUCUUGAUAAGCGCUUGUACUAUAAGUCGUAAAUAAGCUCUUUAUCCAAAUAGGCAUACCAUUAUUGUAGCAAAUUUGAGUUCUCUAUGGUCACAUAUAUAAUCACAAAUCUUGUAGGUACUCGGUGAAGAUUAGAUAAUUCGUAUUUUGAAGACAAAUUUAGUGAUAAUGUCAUCAAGAUAUGAAUAUGUUUAUCUUUAUUCUGCGGUCAAGACUCAAGAUUAUGUUUUUUUAAACCAUGUUACAUGUAAUCACUUCAUCUGUAACAAAAUAUAAGUAAAAAAAUAAAAUGCUUUUGAUUCAAAUUUUAAACAAAAAAACAUUUAAUUUAUCGGCUUCUUUUUGCUUAUAUUUUACUACGGAUAAAAUAAUUUUACUUUAUUAUAUAUAUGUUCAUGACCUCUAACUACAUGACUUUUUUUUUUAGAUUAUUCACUCCAUUGACAAGUUAGGAUUAUGGCACCGUUUGCCUGUUAUCUUGGGUCUAUUGUAUUUGGCCACUAGACGCCAUCUUCACCAACAGUACAACCUCUUCAACGUUGGACAAACAGCUGUGGGAGUUAGGGCUAACCCUAAUGAUUAUCCAUAUAGAACAGCUGAUGGAAAAUAUAAUGACCCUUUCAAUGAAAGUGCUGGAAGUCAAGGGUCUUUCAUUGGCAGAAAUAUUCUUCCUGUUGAUCAGAAGGACAAGGUUCAAACUAAAAACUAAUUACAUGAUUAAUAGUAUAUACAAUAUGUUUUUAUGCUUUAGUUAAGAGAAUAUUUUGACAAUAUUAAAAAAAGUUAUGAACUAAAAAAAAAAAUUGUGCGCGCGCACGUCUGUGUAACUUUUUCCUUAAAAAAAAAAAAAAAAAAAAAAAAAAAAAAAAAAAAACCUAAAACUUUUUAAGACUAUAGAAUUGGAUAUUGUUUUUGUGCAGUUGUUGAAACCAGACCCAAUGGUGGUGGCCACAAAACUUUUGGAGAGAAAAACGUUCAAGGACAAUGGGAAACAAUUCAAUGUGUUAGCAGCAGCUUGGAUUCAAUUUAUGAUACAUGAUUGGAUAGAUCAUUUGGAGGACACUAAUCAGGUUUCAUCAACUUCAAAUUAUAUAUAAUUUUGUCCAAUAAUUUUCUUAAUAUGAUGGUGGAAGCAUGCUAGAUUCUCAAGUAGACCAACAUUUUAAUGUUCGUGUUGUGAUUGAUUAAUGUUAGUAUUAUAUAUAUAUAUAUAUAGAUUGAACUCACUGCACCACGUGAAGUUGCAAGCCAAUGUCCACUAAAAUCAUUCAAGUUCUUGAAGACAAAGGAAAUUCCAACGGGUUUUUAUGAGAUCAAGACUGGACAUGCAAACAUUCGUACACCUUGGUGGUAAGAAUAUUUUCCAUAUACCUAAGCAUUAAUUGAUCGUAUAUAUACAUAUAUGAUUAAAUAAUGGAAAAAUGUUAUUAAUUAAAAUAGUGUUAAUGAUCAUUUUACAACGAUCUCAAUGAAAUUUGGACUUUUUAUCUUGAGUUUAUAAAUUCAAACUCUUUACUAUUGAUUUCAAACCAUCGCAAUCAUUUAUAUAUAAACUGAUGUAGACAAGCUAGCAGCACGAAUCGAGGAAGAAGUGGCGCGCAAGAAAGGUUGAAUCGGAACGGUGCUGAUUUUGCAUCCGAUGUCGGUUUGACCCGAAUUAUACCUUUUCGGAAAGCCCCUGACGUCACGAAAAGGUAUCAGAGCCUGGUUUCCCUUGGUAUCAGAGCCUGGAUUCCUCUGUUCUCUCGUGAACGUGAUCCAUCCAUGAGGUUCGGAGCUUUCCGAAAAGGUAUAAUUCGGGUCAAACCGACACCAGAUACAAAAUAUGCACCGUUCCAACUUGCGCGCCACUUCUUCCUCGAUUCGUGAUGCUAGCUUGUCUGCAUCAUAAAUAUAUGGAAUAUAGUUUCUGAAAAUUAGGUGUGUUACAUAUAAACAUUGUUGUUUUUAUAUAUCUAGGUCUAUCUAAUUUUGUCUAGUAAUUAUACUUAUAGUCUCAAUUUAAGACCUUCUAAUUGAACUUACACAUGACAUGCAUGAAACUAUAUGAUAAUAGGGAUGGAAGUGUGAUAUAUGGAAGCAAUCAAGAAGUUUUGAACAAAGUGAGAACUUUCAAAGAUGGGAAGUUAAAAAUAUUAGACGAUGGUACCCUUAAGCAAAAUGAAAAUGGAGUAGCAAUUUCAGGUGACGUUCGCAAUAGUUGGGCUGGUGUCUCAACUUUGCAGGCUCUCUUUAUUCAAGAACACAAUGCUUUUUGUGAUGCUCUCAAGGUAUACUUGUAACUAUAUGCAUCAAAUUUAUUUAUUUAAAUAAUUGCUCUGGACAAAAAAUAUUUUUUUUGUCAAAAAAGUGACAUAUGAUAUAACUACUAAAAAACAAAAAUUAGUGAAGGAAAACAUGAAAUCCUCUAUAAUUCCAUCACAAAAUUUUGUGACCAAGAAAUUUGUGACGAAUUUUAUUUUUUCCGUCACUCAUUUCCCUUCCUAAUUUUGCUUUUCCUAGUUUUACAUAAAAGAUAACUACUUUUUUUUAUACCGUACUUUAUUAGAAUGAAUACCCGGACUUGGAAGAUGAAGAUCUUUACCGUCAUGCUAGAUUGGUGACUUCAGCAGUUAUUGCAAAGAUUCACACCAUAGAUUGGACUGUGGAGCUCCUUAAAACCGACACUUUGCUUGCUGGCAUGCGUGCUAAUUGGUAAGAUUAAGUAUAGAGUGUUUUCCCUCUAGUUAAUUUUUCGAGUUUAAUUAGUACAGUCUAUCGGUAUAUUAUAUACUUAUUUUAUACAUACAUUUAAUGAUAUGUUAUCAUGUCAAUUAAUGAAUGUGGCAACACAUAAUUGACGUGACAAUACAUAAUUAAAUGUAUGUGUAAAAUAAUUGUACACUGACAAUGUAUACUAAUUAAAUUUUAUUUUUUACACGUUUUAGUGAAAUUUUAAUAGCUCAACCUAAAUAAUAGUAAUUUUGAUGUUCAUUGCAUUAACUUUUGUCAUGUUACAAAAUUUGAUUUUAUUUAGGUAUGGAUUAUUGGGAAAGAAAUUCAAGGACACGUUUGGGCAUGUUGGUGACUCUAUCUUAGGUGGAUUGGUGGGCAUGAAAAAACCAGAUAAUCAUGGUGUUCCAUACUCUCUAACUGAAGAAUUUGUGACUGUCUAUAGGAUGCAUGCACUCCUACCUGAUUCUUUGCAUUUGAGAGACAUAUCUGCCACCCCAGGACAAAACAAAUCUCCACCACUGAUCAAAGAGUAUGCCAAAAUAUUUUUACACCAAUAUUAUAACUUAUUACUAUAUAGCAUCACAAACUUUAACAACUCAUUUAAUAGUCAAUAAAUGAAAUUUAUACCAUUUUUAAAUGAGUCUUAUUUAAUAGAAAAUGAGAUCCAUAUAAUUGGUGGAAUACAAAAAUUUACCCAAUCAUAUACUUCAUUCGUCUCAAAAUAAUAGUCGUUUAAGGUUUAUACACAGUAAUUAAGAAAAAGAUUAAUUGUAUUGAUUUCAAUGGUAAAAUUAGUAUCAUUUACUAAUAUACUCUUAUUAAUUGUAGUUAGUGAAGUAGCUGUGUUCGAUAAAAUUCAAUAAAUAAGGUAUAAUAAUGAGAAAAAAAUAAUAAAUGUUGCAUUGUUAUUAUAAAGUGACAAUCAUCUUGCGACAAAAAAAAAAUGUUAAAUAAACAGUUAUAUUGAGACUGAGGGAGUAGUGUUUUGAAAAAGAGUAACAAAGAUUGUGUUUUUUAGCACUCCAUAAUCUAAAAAAGUUCUGAAUUUUUUUAUCUCUUUUGGUAUUAUACAGGAUUCCUAUGAAUGAUCUGAUUGGCCUGCCAGGAGAAAAAACCUUGUCAUCGAUAGGAUUUUCAAGCACAUUAGUAUCAAUGGGUCACCAAACUUCUGGUGCCCUAACACUUGGAAACUAUCCAUCAUGGCUCAGAGACCUAGUACCACAGAACAUAGAUGGCACAGAAAGAUCUGAUCAUGUGGACAU